RNAcentral lists this transfer RNA (76 nucleotides) under Saprospiraceae bacterium. RNAcentral's name for it is "tRNA-Gly". It matches the Rfam family "tRNA". Rfam says of the family: Transfer RNA (tRNA) molecules are approximately 80 nucleotides in length. Their secondary structure includes four short double-helical elements and three loops (D, anti-codon, and T loops). The record is from RNAcentral. Lineage: Bacteria; Pseudomonadati; Bacteroidota; Saprospiria; Saprospirales; Saprospiraceae.
GCGUGCGUAACUCAAUUGGUAGAGUGUCGUCCUUCCAAGUCGGAAGUUGCAGGUUCGAGUCCUGUCGCCCGCACCA